Molecule: long non-coding RNA, 219 nt
Organism: Xenia sp. Carnegie-2017
Lineage: Eukaryota; Metazoa; Cnidaria; Anthozoa; Malacalcyonacea; Xeniidae
Exons: 3
Source: RefSeq, a predicted model, not a curated record
AAAAAUACAGUCUUCUUCAUCGUCGCUUUGUAUCAGCGGUUCAACGCUUGGGUUGUUCAAAUCCUAAAUGGGAAAAGAUACUUAAAGAUGUCGGUUAAGGGUAUUCUUCAGUAGUGUCUCGUGUGUAAACGGAUCCCACAAAAAAUUUCCACAUUAUAAAGUGUGUUGCUGCUUUACCUGUUGCAACAUCAACCAUUACACUGUUGUGACUGGCUGAGA